GAAAUGCGAUACGUAAUGUGAAUUGCAGAAUUCAGUGAAUCAUCAAAUCUUUGAACGCAAGUGGCGCUCUCACGCUCGCGUGGGAGCAUGCCUCUUUCAGCAUCGGUUAUUCUAAACUCAUCUGCUUGCAGAUGGAGAAUGAGUUGUCGCUUGUCUCUCUCUCUCUCUCUUGGGAGAAGGAAGAGCGUCACUUCAAGUUUGGCGAGCUCAGUCGCAAGUUUCACUGAGAAAGUGACGUUGGUAGGUAAUAAAAGGCUUCGGCCUUUGUUUACUUCACGCCGCGUCUGCUUUCGGUUGCAGGUGAAGCUGCCCUCUCGGGUCUUUUUCUAGCAAUAGAGAGAACUUGGAGGACGACUAGCGUAGGAGCAGUCUUGUUGUUGUUGUUGUUGUUGUUGUUUGCACAAACAAACAAACAAACAAACAAGCAAACAAACGAGUCGCUGUUCAGCCUUAACGACUUGAUCUGAAAUGAGGUAAGAGGACCCGCCGAAUUUAAGC
RNAcentral lists this unclassified non-coding RNA (498 nucleotides) under plant metagenome. RNAcentral's name for it is "partial contains 5.8S ribosomal RNA, internal transcribed spacer 2, and large subunit ribosomal RNA". The stretch from base 1 to 105 matches the Rfam family "5.8S ribosomal RNA", at positions 50 to 154 of the family's 154-position model. The record is from RNAcentral.